UUCUAAGCUCUAGCAGGCAGAUCCAUUUUCUGCCACCGAAUACAUUAGCAUGGGAUAAUGGAAUAGGACCCUGUCCUCCUAUUUUCAGUUGGUUUUGGCAGCGCGAGGACUAGGGUAAUGAUUAAUAGGGAUAGUUGGGGGCAUUAAUAUUUAAUUGUCAGAGGUGAAAUUCUUGGAUUUAUGAAAGAUUAACUUCUGCGAAAGCAUCUGCCAAGGAUGUUUUCAUUAAUCAAGAACGAAAGUUAGGGGAUCGAAGACGAUCAGAUACCGUCGUAGUCUUAACCAUAAACGAUGCCGACCAGCGAUUAGGAGACGUUGAAUACAAAACACCACCAUCGGUGCGGUCGUCCUUGGCGUCGGUUUCGGCCGGCGCGGGGGCGGCUUAGCCCGGUGGCACCGGUGAAUGACUCCCCUAGCAGCUUGUGAGAA
RNAcentral lists this ribosomal RNA (429 nucleotides) under Acanthamoeba polyphaga. Its description in RNAcentral is "SSU rRNA". It matches the Rfam family "Eukaryotic small subunit ribosomal RNA", at positions 767 to 1096 of the family's 1831-position model. Lineage: Eukaryota; Discosea; Longamoebia; Acanthamoebidae. The record is from RNAcentral.